RNAcentral lists this ribosomal RNA (253 nucleotides) under uncultured bacterium. RNAcentral's name for it is "partial 16S ribosomal RNA". It matches the Rfam family "Bacterial small subunit ribosomal RNA", at positions 524 to 776 of the family's 1533-position model. The record is from RNAcentral.
GACGAACCGAGCGAACGUUAUUCGGAAUCACUGGGCUUAAAGGGCGCGUAGGCGGGCCGUCAAGUCAGGGGUGAAAGCCCCCAGCUCAACUGGGGAAGUGCCCCUGAUACUGGCGGCCUCGAGCGAGGUAGGGGCGUGCGGAACUUCCGGUGGAGCGGUGAAAUGCGUAGAUAUCGGAAGGAACACCGGUGGCGAAAGCGGCGCGCUGGACCUCUUCUGACGCUGAGGCGCGAAAGCCAGGGGAGCGAACGGG